Molecule: long non-coding RNA, 1174 nt
Filed under: Homo sapiens (human)
Lineage: Eukaryota; Metazoa; Chordata; Mammalia; Primates; Hominidae
Description: non-protein coding lnc-C12orf74-3:29
Source: RNAcentral
CUUCUCCAAGAGUGCGCUGCCUGGGCCCGCUUGCCCUGGAGUGUAAGUGCUGGGUAAAUAAGAACCGCCUGGCGCAGGCUGUGUCUACUCUUCACGCCGCCUUCUCAGAUCGGGCUGCAUGUCCCCACUCCGUGUUUACAUCUCGUUCCCGCUCCGGGUCUCGGUGACUGGCUCCUCAAGCCGGAGACGCGUGUGGUGCGGCGCGAUGCGGGCGCCAGCGCUGUGUGUGCUGGCGGUGCGCUGCCUUAGUGCGGGGGAAAGUGGAGGGAACGGUCCUGCGGGGCGUUCUGUCCAAGAAAAAGGACUGCAGCCUCGGGGAGCCAGGGUCCCCUCGCAGACGAGCUGCCAACGCCGCGGAGCCAUUUCUGUUCCACCCUAGGGGAGGAGUAGGGGGAUAUCUUUUAAAAGUUUAAUUGCAAAAUAAGUAGGUUAGUAAGGCCAUUUGUGGUUGCUGUUUCAGUAACUUCAGCAGUCAACGGAGAGAAGAGUGGAAACCUUACUGGAUGCGGACAGGAGAGCCAGUUACUGAAAGCAGAUAUAACGCGGAUCCUGUAAAGAGUGGUGUGUAUCCAAAAAAAAAAAAUCUGUACAAUGUAUUUUAAAACUUGUGUGCACAAAACUGAAGAUUUUCUUUUUUACCUAGUCCAAAUGCCGUCCUAGCCUGAGUCCUGCUCUUUAUAAAAAUAAAAUAAAAAGAAUUUGAAGCUUGUGAAAGUAUUAAGUGUAGACAUUCAAGUUUAUUUGAAACCCUACCAAAAAAAAAAAAAAACAACCUUAAAAACCAGUGUAACAGGAAGGCGGGAGCCUGCUAAAACGAUUAGGCCUAAGACAGGGUUAACCCCAACUCCAUUAAGGAGAAGGGGGAAAAGAAAAAAAGAAAGAUGAAGGGAGGCAGGCAGAUGGAGAAAGCAAACAGGAGGCAGAAGUUGAACUCUACCAGAUGGAAAUAAAUAUCCCGACCUUAGUUGAUCAUCAAUAUUGCAAAACACACCACUUUGAGUGUUUUUUUUUUCUUUUUAAUACUGAGCUAAAGGAUAUAGAAAUGAAGCAAAAAUAAUGACAUUAUAAAACAGGAGAAAACGUUUUAUUGUUUAAAAAAUAUGUAAAACUCGAUUUGAAAAAAUAACUUCUAGAUUAUUUUUUCAUUAGUACACAUAACUAAGUAGUUACAUGU